Molecule: long non-coding RNA, 756 nt
Organism: Hyla sarda
Lineage: Eukaryota; Metazoa; Chordata; Amphibia; Anura; Hylidae
Exons: 3
Source: RefSeq, a predicted model, not a curated record
GGACGUUCAUGCGCAGCCUCCCUGCCGCAUAGGUGAAAAAGGACAGCCCGGAACGACUAACCCUCCCCUCCGGACGGUCCCUGCAGCAUAGAUGGCCUGGACCAGCUCACCCUUCCUUCCCACCGAGGGGAGAGGCAAGGAUGUUCCAUUGUACUCGUGGCGACAUCCAGCUGUGGACUCGGCGCAGGGAUAAAUUAUGGAUUAUGCCCUCAGAAGGAAUACAUCAUCUUUGCCCUUUUGAUCACAUGAUCUUACAAGUCAGCCAUUGUUCCCUGCCCGUACCCUGUUGUCAUCUAAAUCGUAGAUCUACACGACUGUAAAGAAUGAACGCCGAUAUCAAGGGAUUCAACAGCUCAUCGAUGAAAUUUCAAUCACGUUCCGUCGCACCGGAUCAGCGGCGGCCUGUUUAUGAAGUAGGGUGAUCUUCGCCUUACGAGAUGAAAGGCACUUUUAUAUUCCACCGACAUAAUUGUCUUCUUAGUUUUGAGAACACUAUUACCUGAAAAGACCUCACUUCCUUCCAUGCCGUAUUGGUGGUCAAUGUGCUAUACCUCUUACCAAAUCUACGGCUGGCUUAAAUAUGAUCAGAAGAGAUAGAUUCGGAAAAUGCCAGGUUUUAUGAGAAUGAUUUGACACGUCUGUGUAAAUGUGACUGUGAGCUCCUCGCAAUCUGCUAUGGGAAUAUUACACAUACAAGGCAAACAGCUUUUCUUUAUUAAACGCAUUGUACAUCUGGUUUCACCCAGAUGUUUUACC